UCGCCCCUCCCCCAACCAAUCUUGCCCACACCGCAGAUGCAUCCUCUGCCCCCAAACGAUGGCGACAAGGACGCCGGCAACCCGCGUCUCCUUCCACCUCCCCCAGCUCGUCUUCUCACCGGCCGCUUUGGAGGAGCCUCCUUUUGUGCGCCAUCGUGGCCGGGCUGCGGUGACCACUAGAGGUCCGCCGCCGGCAGGAGGUCCCUCCUUCUCCACUACGAGGCACCAGCAGAGGAGGACUCCUCCUCCUUCCAUCCCUAGCCAUGGCAUCCAACCUCUAACGCCGCUUGAAACCCUAUCCCGAAUCCGGCAGAGGUGCAGCAGCACGGGAUCCCCUCCAAAAGCAGUUGCAGGAAGGGGCGGGCCAUGGAGAAGCUGCUAGGUGUGGGCCUGAAGCCAUGGAUGGAUAGCGUACGGCGAGGAGGCACUGAACAGAGCGGCGGGCAAGGACGAUGUGAAGCUGCGCGCACCAUCGUCGUAUCCCUCCUCCACCUGCUGUUACUAGAAGCAAGUGCAGUACCAUCUCAUCUCAUCCACGAGAGCUAUUUUUGGCUUACAUGAAGGGAUGCAUGCUCUUCAUCUUGCAGGCACCUGAGCUAUUUACACAAGGAGGGGACCCAGCCUUCUUCACGGCUCGCGAUAGUGUCUCCCAUUUAUUCGUUCGUGCGACAAGGAGGGGACUCGCCCUUCUUCAUGUCUCGUGCAACAAGGACCAGCCUCUGGCUAUACUAUUGAUUCGUGUGCAUGUGCUAAAGAGUAAGAAAAUACCCUACUGGAUUUGGACGCUGACAAGCAUUAACAAGUUUUCACUUUCCCGACGUGGCCACAGGGGUGAUCGACGCGGACUACCGCUGCCUUGUGGGCGUCGUGCUCUUCAACCACUCGGAGGUGGACUUCACCGUGAAGCCCGACGACCGCGUCGCACAGAUGAUCGUCCAGGUGAUCGUGACGCCGGAGGUCGCCGAGGUGGAGGACCUUGAUACCAUCAUUUGGGGGGAGAAAGGAUUGGGGUCCACCAGCAUCUGAACUCCGAGCCUUGGUAGAUACAUCUAGAGAAGUGGUAUGUUUAGGCUGCUGGUGGAACACUAGGAAAGGUACCCACCUUCGGUUGUGUGCGUUUAUUGUUAAAUGGAAU
Long non-coding RNA from Triticum dicoccoides, 1135 nucleotides. RefSeq lists it as uncharacterized. NCBI's taxonomy places the organism in Eukaryota, Viridiplantae, Streptophyta, Magnoliopsida, Poales, Poaceae. The transcript has 4 exons. The record is from RefSeq and is a predicted model, not a curated record.